RNAcentral lists this ribosomal RNA (480 nucleotides) under uncultured bacterium. RNAcentral's name for it is "partial 16S ribosomal RNA". It matches the Rfam family "Bacterial small subunit ribosomal RNA", at positions 28 to 507 of the family's 1533-position model. The record is from RNAcentral.
GACGAACGCUGGCGGCGUGCUUAACACAUGCAAGUCGAACGAUGAAGAAAAGAAUCGAAGCUUCGGCAGAAAUUCAUUUCGGAUUAGUGGCAGACGGGUGAGUAACGCGUGAGCAACCUACCUCUUACAAAGGGAUAGCCUCGGGAAACCGGGAUUAAUACCAUAUAACAUUGCGACGAAGCAUUUCGAUGCAAUCAAAGCUACGGCGGUAAGAGAUGGGCUCGCGUCCCAUUAACCGGAUGGUGAGGUAACGGCGCACCAUAGUGACGAUGGGUAACCGGCCUGAGAGGGUGAACGGUCACACUGGAACUGAGACACGGUCCAGACUCCUACGGGAGGCAGCAGUGGGGAAUAUUGCACAAUGGAGGGAACUCUGAUGCAGCGACGCCGCGUGAGUGAUGAAGGAAUUCGUUUCGUAAAACUCUGUUCUAUGGGAAGAAAAGGACUGUACCAUAGGAGAAAGCUCCGGCUAAAUACGUG